Molecule: ribosomal RNA, 287 nt
Filed under: uncultured Pseudomonas sp.
Lineage: Bacteria; Pseudomonadati; Pseudomonadota; Gammaproteobacteria; Pseudomonadales; Pseudomonadaceae
Description: partial 16S ribosomal RNA
Rfam family: Bacterial small subunit ribosomal RNA
Source: RNAcentral
GCGCAACCCUUGUCCUUAGUUACCAGCACGUUAUGGUGGGCACUCUAAGGAGACUGCCGGUGACAAACCGGAGGAAGGUGGGGAUGACGUCAAGUCAUCAUGGCCCUUACGGCCUGGGCUACACACGUGCUACAAUGGUCGGUACAAAGGGUUGCCAAGCCGCGGGGUGGAGCUAAUCCCAUAAAACCGAUCGUAGUCCGGAUCGCAGUCUGCAACUCGACUGCGUGAAGUCGGAAUCGCUAGUAAUCGUGAAUCAGAAUGUCACGGUGAAUACGUUCCCGGGCCUU